This 539-nucleotide ribosomal RNA is filed under the name Metapenaeopsis barbata. RNAcentral describes it as "partial large subunit ribosomal RNA". It matches the Rfam family "Bacterial large subunit ribosomal RNA", at positions 1828 to 2611 of the family's 2925-position model. The record is from RNAcentral. Lineage: Eukaryota; Metazoa; Arthropoda; Malacostraca; Decapoda; Penaeidae.
AAAACAUGUCUGUAUGGUUGUUGUAUAGAGUCUGGCCUGCCCACUGAUAAAGUUAAAGGGCCGCGGUAUUCUGACCGUGCGAAGGUAGCAUAAUCAUUAGUCUUUUAAUUGGAGGCUUGUAUGAAUGGUUGGACAAAAAGCAAACUGUCUCAAUUAUAUUAUUUGAAUUUAACUUUUAAGUGAAAAGGCUUAAAUGUACUAAAGGGACGAUAAGACCCUAUAAAGCUUUACAAUUAUUUAAUUAAAUUAUAAAUUGUUGGUUUAACUUGAUUUAAUUAAUAUUUGUUUCGUUGGGGCGACGAGAAUAAAAUUAAAGUAACUGUUCUUUUAUAGAUAGUCACAAAUUUGUUUGGGUAAAGAUUGAUCCUUUAUUAAAGAUCAAAAGAUUAAGUUACUUUAGGGAUAACAGCGUAAUCCUCUUUGAGAGUUCAUAUCGACAAGAGGGGUUGCGACCUCGAUGUUGAAUUAAAGUAUCCUUGUGGUGUAGCAGUUACAAAGGAGGGUCUGUUCGACCUUUAAUUCUUUACAUGAUCUGAUCC